This 500-nucleotide ribosomal RNA is filed under the name uncultured bacterium. RNAcentral describes it as "partial 16S ribosomal RNA". It matches the Rfam family "Bacterial small subunit ribosomal RNA", at positions 30 to 523 of the family's 1533-position model. The record is from RNAcentral.
AUUGAACGCUGGCGGCAUGCCUUACACAUGCAAGUCGAACGGCAGCACGGGAGCAAUCCUGGUGGCGAGUGGCGAACGGGUGAGUAAAGUAUCGGAACGUGCCCAGUCGUGGGGGAUAACGUAGCGAAAGUCACGCUCAUACCGCAUACGAUCUAUGGAUGAAAGCGGGGGAUCGCAAGACCUCGCGCGAUUGGAGCGGCCGAUAUCAGAUUAGGUAGUUGGUGGGGUAAAGGCUCACCAAGCCGACGAUCUGUAGCUGGUCUGAGAGGACGACCAGCCACACUGGGACUGAGACACGGCCCAGACUCCUACGGGAGGCAGCUGUGGGGAAUUUUGGACAAUGGGCGCAAGCCUGAUCCAGCCAUGCCGCGUGCAGGAUGAAGGCCUUCGGGUUGUAAACUGCUUUUGUACGGAACGAAAAGGUUUGGCCUAAUACGCUGAACUCAUGACGGUACCGUAAGAAUAAGCACCGGCUAACUACGUGCCAGCCGCCGCGGUAA